GUUGAACGCUGGCGGCAGGCCUAACACAUGCAAGUCGAACGAGUGGCGGACGGGUGAGUAAUUUCUGGGAAACUGCCCGAUGGAGGGGGGUAACUACUAGAAACGGUAGCUAAUACCGCAUACCAUCGGAUGUGCCCAGGUGGGAUUAGCUAGUAGGGGGGGUAACGGCUCACCUAGGCGACGCGCCCUAGCUGGUCUGAGAGGAUGACCCGCCACACUGGAACGGAGACACGGUCCAGACUCCUACGGGAGGCAGCAGUGGGGAAUAUUGCACAAUGGGCGAAAGCCUGAUGCAGCAAUGCCGCGUGUAUGAAGAAGGCUUUCGGGUUGUAAAGUACUUUCAGUGGGGAGGCGUUACUCGCAGAAGAAGCACCGGCUAACUCCGUGCCAGCAGCCGCGGUAAUAC
RNAcentral lists this ribosomal RNA (406 nucleotides) under uncultured bacterium. Its description in RNAcentral is "partial 16S ribosomal RNA". It matches the Rfam family "Bacterial small subunit ribosomal RNA", at positions 28 to 526 of the family's 1533-position model. The record is from RNAcentral.